This 813-nucleotide ribosomal RNA is filed under the name Peptostreptococcaceae bacterium. RNAcentral's name for it is "bacterial SSU rRNA". It matches the Rfam family "Bacterial small subunit ribosomal RNA", at positions 627 to 1439 of the family's 1533-position model. Lineage: Bacteria; Bacillati; Bacillota; Clostridia; Peptostreptococcales; Peptostreptococcaceae. The record is from RNAcentral.
UUGAAACUAAUGAGCUUGAGUAUAGGAGAGGAAAGUGGAAUUCCCAGUGUAGCGGUGAAAUGCGUAGAUAUUGGGAGGAAUACCGGUGGCGAAGGCGACUUUCUGGACUAAAACUGACGCUGAGGCACGAAAGCGUGGGUAGCAAACAGGAUUAGAUACCCUGGUAGUCCACGCCGUAAACGAUGAACACUAGGUGUCGGGAGGAAUCUCGGUGCCGGCGCAAACGCAAUAAGUGUUCCGCCUGGGGAGUACGUUCGCAAGAAUAAAACUCAAAGGAAUUGACGGGGACCCGCACAAGUAGCGGAGCAUGUGGUUUAAUUCGAAGCAACGCGAAGAACCUUACCUAAGCUUGACAUGGGGAUGAAAAAUAAUGUAAAGUUAUAAUAUCACUUCGGUGAACAUCCCACACAGGUGGUGCAUGGUUGUCGUCAGCUCGUGUCGUGAGAUGUUGGGUUAAGUCCCGCAACGAGCGCAACCCCUAUUAAUAGUUGCCAGUGAGUAAAGUCAGGCACUCUAAAAAGACAGUUAGGGAUAACCUAAAGGAAGGUGGGGAUGACGUCAAAUCAUCAUGCCCCUUAUGCUUAGGGCUACACACGUGCUACAAUGGCCAUAACAAAGAGAAGCGAGAUCGUAAGAUGGAGCAAACCUGAAAAAAAUGGUCCAAGUUCGGAUUGUGGGCUGAAACUCGCCCACAUGAAGUCGGAGUUACUAGUAAUCGCAAAUCAGAAUGUUGCGGUGAAUGCGUUCCCGGGUCUUGUACACACCGCCCGUCACACCAUGGGAGCUGAGGGCACCCGAAGUCAGUGAUCCAAC